UGGGGAAUUUUCCGCAAUGGGCGAAAGCCUGACGGAGCAAUACCGCGUGAGGGAAGAAUGCCUGUGGGUUGUAAACCUCCUUUUUUAGGGAAGAAAAUUUGACGGUACCUAAAGAAUAAGCAUCGGCUAACUCCGUGCCAGCAGCCGCGGUAAUACGGGGGAUGCAAGCGUUAUCCGGAAUCACUGGGCGUAAAGAGUCUGUAGGUGGCUUGAUAAGUCUGCUGUUAAAUAUCAAAGCUUAACUUUGAAGCAGCGGUAGAAACUAUUAUGCUAGAGUAUGGUAGGGGUAGAGGGAAUUCCCAGUGUAGCGGUGAAAUGCGUAGAUAUUGGGAAGAACACCAGUGGCGAAGGCGCUCUACUGGGCCAUUACUGACACUCAGAGACGAAAGCUAAGGUAGCGAAUGGGAUUAGAUACCCGUGUAGUCC
Molecule: ribosomal RNA, 426 nt
Filed under: uncultured prokaryote
Description: bacterial SSU rRNA
Rfam family: Bacterial small subunit ribosomal RNA
Source: RNAcentral